RNAcentral lists this long non-coding RNA (274 nucleotides) under Cucumis sativus (cucumber). Its description in RNAcentral is "long non-coding RNA (CSAT_LNC000678)". The record is from RNAcentral. Lineage: Eukaryota; Viridiplantae; Streptophyta; Magnoliopsida; Cucurbitales; Cucurbitaceae.
UCCGAUGAGACGGGUCCGCAUCAGCAACCAUUCGAAUCCUUCCAGCCACAUCCACGUGCUUAUCCGCCGCUUCACGAAGCAAAUUAAUUAGCUGGUCCUUAGUAAAGGGCUCCAAGAGCUUGUGAAUGGGUUCAUCGUCAUCAUCAGUAGUCGCAACAGCAGCCGAGGAAGUCGAAAUCUUGGGGGUCGGAUGGUGGUUAUUAACAUUCGCAUCGCCUUCAUCAUCCUCGUCCUCAUCAUCCUCGUCCUCCUCCUCUUCCUCCUCGUCGUUAUC